GGAAGUGCUAUUAUCAUAAAGACAUUAUAAAAGUAAACAUAUAAAUUGUCGUAAUUUUAUAUCAUAUAUUAAAUUUAUUUUAUAAUAAAAAUAAUUUUAUAAUUUAGUAUGCUAGAUUAAAUUAUUAUAAAUUUGCUUUCGUGGGAUCUCUGUGUGUGAAACAUUUCUCUAAACAUGUUUUGAGUUUUUUCUUUAUAUAAUCGUGCAGAAUCUCUAAUAAGCAAUAUGAUUCUGUAUCAACUAAUAAGGUACCAUUUGGCUAUUAAGAUAAGAUAUGAAUUUCUUAUCCCAAUUUUCAACUCAGUUGAAAUCAUAUUACCAAACGCCACUGCAGGAUACAAUAAAAUCAAAAAUUUUGAGUCUCAGUUCACUGUAGCCGAGUUGAAAUAAGUCUGACAGGAACAACGUUGUUUUUAUGAGUACUGUCCUUGAGUGUAGGCUACCGUUGUGGACUUUCCCGGUUACCAAAGCAUCUUGCUCACUGCAGCACUCUUUCUCAAGUUACUCCAAAAAGAAAGCAGACAAUGAAACUCAGCUGCAACAAUACUCACACGACUCCCUUCUUCCAAAAAUGAAGAAAUCCCCGACUGCUGAAAUCCUUCCUCAACAUUUGUUGGUCACGCCGCUGGGUUUGUUUCCACUCUAUACGCAUGUGCUGGUGAAAGAAGGUGAGGAAAGCUUGAGACCAUCGAUGGCUUGAAAGUGAGAUUACCAGUGACCCAGUAGCUUUUCAGUAGAUUUUUCUAUGUAAUUUGAUGUGAUUCGAUUUUUACAAAACAUGCCUAAAUUCAUCUUAUUUUAUGUACCUUCAUUGUUUGGAAUGUUUUCAUGGCCGUGCUAAUAUUUGACACACCCAACUCUGCCUGAUAUUUUUCGUAUCCUUGAUUGGUGUCAAUGUUGAGGCCGUGCGAAUAUCAGUACAGAAAACCCAUGUGUAGGACACCAUCUCCUCUUUAUAUUAGAGCGGAAUCUCUCUGUAAAGGCUAUUUCUUAUCAGCCUGGAGGGUGAGUGAUCUGACCUUUAUGCACACAGUAACCACACGUGGAUUCUUUGUACGAUUUUCUGCGACUUUUCUCAUUUUUCAAACAACAAAUGGUGUAUAAAAGCAUUCACCUCAAGCUGGCCGGAAAAAUUCCCAUGAACUCCAUCAAAAAAAAAUCUGGUGCUCACAAACCUCCCCUUCGUCGCCGUCAGUUGUGGACCACCACAGGUCGUAGGACAAGGUCCUACCAGAUAACCUUCUUGGCCCCCAUUAAUUGAUGUAAUUUUGGAAUGUUGGUGAAAUUUGUUGGCUGAAUAAUUGAAUACAAUUAUCACGUAUUGUAUGAGGCUGUUUCUUGAAUGUCCUCUACUUUCUUCUCUCUUUGUCUCAUCUCUGUCUCUGUCUCUCACACUUAUGUUGAUCACUGUCAUAACAUGUAUAAUAGAAUCUGUUUUGCUUGCUUGUCUGAAUUCGUAACUUGCCUUUCCUUCACAACCUGGGGGUGUAGUUGUUGUUGGACUUUCCUGAAUAAGCCUCCCGAUUGAGUGUGAAGUAGAGAUUCAUGCCCAUGUCUAGGUCACAAUUGGUAGCACCUUUAAAAUAACAGAUCCGGUUCUACAAAAGUGGUAAAAUUAGACUAUUAUUGGGUUAUCCCUUUCAGGUCAUUGUCAAGUGUGCGAGUAUGAUGUAUUACGAAGCAAAUGUGUACAUAUAUGGAGCUUGAGAUCAUGGACUUGGAUUUCUAUACUUGUAUAAAACAGAUUGCUACUUGUACAAAUACUGUUUUAACAACAUGCUAAAACAUUGAGGAGUAACGAGAAAUCUACCCAAAGGGAGUGAUAAAUAAAUUACCUAUGUUGUUUAAUGUUACUUAGGCAUGACAUUAGAGACCUUUUCUAUAUAUGAUACUGCUAGAGUAUGGUGGAUGUUAUAAUCUUUAGAAGCUGAUCCUAGACCAGAAAAUAAUGUUUAUUGAGAAAAUAGAGAAACACAUUAUAGUAAUUAAUGAAAAAAUAGAGAAAUUUGCCCCGAAAUUUCUGAUAUCACUAGUGUCGAUGCUAAUUUGAAUCAUUGCCAAUCCAAUGCUCUUAAAGGCUAAGUAAUGCCCAGCCAAUAUGCAAGGCUUAGGCUAUAGAUCACCUCCCUUGGUGAAAAGUAGGAACGAUGUAAAAAUCCUAUCUGAAAGUGUCUAUUGAGUAUGUUGCAUUUAGGCCGUGGAGAGAUGGGCAUCAAGAUGUCUCUAUAAUUUUUUCCAAACUGGAAACCUAUUUGGAGAUGGAAAUCUCAGAAUACAUGGAAUAAUUCCUAUGAUCCUGAUUUUGGUGCAAAGACUUUGUUUUUAUUUUGUUUCAAGGGAGAACUAUGAUGCGAAAGUCAACAUAUAACAAUGCUUAACCUACUGUCUUUGGCAAUAUUGCCCCAAGGUAAAGUGAGUGAUCCAAUGAGUAAAUUGGUUUUAGAGUCCAUUUCUCUCUUGCACUGUCCCAGAAAAUGUGACAGCUUGAAAGACAAAACCCUCAUGAUCGAUCAGAGAGAGAGAGAGAGAGAGAGAGAUAGAAUCCCUGUGUCCGAGCGCUGACAAACGCCUUUCAGAUUUGUCUAAACGAUAGUGUUCAAAGUUAAAAUCCCCUUCGAGACAAUACCAUUACCCUGCAUAUUUGGAUUUGUUUGCAAGAAGGGUGGAUUAUAAUACUAAGCGAUUUGGAUUAAUUACUAUUGCAUUCACAUUAUAUAGGACAAAUUUAUUUAUGAACCUCCAUAUCAUCUUAUUAAACAAAAAACUAAUAGCUGGGUUGAGAUACGAAAAUCCAAAUAAAAUUAUGCAAGAAACAGAUGUGCAUGAAUGUAGAUAUGGAGGUUGAUGGGUUUAAGAAACAAGCUCUAUUCUCGUGUAUUUUGCUAGGCUAAGGAAGAAGUGGUAAUUAAAGUGUGGAUUACAUUGGAAAUUCCUCAAGAAACGAGCCCCCCACCAAACAUCAACUACUCACGUGAUUUUGUGUAUAUUUUUCAUUUUUUUCUGCAGUCAUUGUUUAAACCAGAGUAGCCAAGUUCUUUAUGACCUGCAUUGUAUUAUUACUAGAAAUGAAAUUUUGUGCCAGUUAAAAUGGAGAGAGUUUUGAAGUUUCUACACUCCCUGGAUAGACCAAAGUAUCCAACUUGUUUAUCACCUUCAAUUUAUUGUUAUGAAACCCAAGAACUUGUUGAGAGAACAGAUGUCAGUUUAACCCGUGUUUAAUUUAUUUUUUUCCUAACUUCUCACAUGGUUUUAUGUUGUGUAGCCUUACUACUUGCGCUCAUCAUCUACGUCAUCAUCUCGACAGCACCAUAUGGAUGACCCGAAUGAAGUGAUACGUGAUCGGCUAUUGUGGGAUGAUGGGAUGGAGGAUGUCCUCAUUAAUUUCUUGUACGAUGAUUCUAUUGCCGGAAGAAUUCGGGGUGGGAAGAUCAGCCACAACGACCAUGUUCGGCUUGCUGAACGAUUGUCCGAUUAUGAGACGAAGAAGUUUAACUCUGAGCAAGUCAAAGGAAAAAUUGCUCGCCUGAAAAGAAGGCAGAGAGAAUUCACAGAUCUAAUGAGGCAAACAGGGUUGGGUUGGGAUCCAAAUAGGAAGGCUUCAGUGGCUAGCGAGGAACACUGGACAAACGCAAUCAGGUGAGAAACUCAUUCAAGAAUUUUAAGAGUAAUGGAUGCCCUCGGUAUGAAGAGCUAUGUGUUAUCUUUGGGUGUUCUGUUGCUAUGGGAACCCUCCAUCGAGCAUCGACUAAGCCCGCCCCAACUAGUGAGGAGGAGGACCUACUUGACGAGGAGCUGCGAAACCGAGGAGGGCCAUGCCAAAAUGAUGAAGGGGGCCCAUCACCACCUUAUCCCAUGUAUGGUUCCACGCAAUCAAUACGACCAUUAUCUGCCUCAUACAGUAGUGGAUCUAGUCGACGCCAGAGGCCGGGCCUUCCCACUCAGCUGUCAUGAAUGAACAAAUGAGCAGGACCUUGGAGGCAAUUGAGAAAAGUUCUGAGGCGAGGAGAAUGGUUGUUGAGGAGUGGAGGGCCUCGAAGCGCAGUAGAGACAACAACAUGGAGACUGAAGGUGUUGUGUCUACCGAUACUCAUACGCGCUACUUUCAGUUGCUUGACGAAGUUGAGCCUCGCCUGCCUUUUGAUCAAUGGCACAAGGCCUUUAAUAAAUUAACCGGUGAUGACGCAUUGCAGAGGUCGUUCGUUGCGAUCUCUGCGGAGCGUAGAGCAGAGUGGCCUGGAAUUUAUAACAAUGUGUUCUUGUUGAUGACUGUUUUAAUAGAUCUCUUAGGAUUUAAUUUAUUUGCACGUGUUUAGUUGACCACCUUUAUCGCGGACAUUUGAAUCUUAAAACCAAAGUUAUCAUUUCGUUAUGUAUGUUUAUUCAGACAAUGA
Carya illinoinensis is the source of this 4391-nucleotide RNA transcript. RefSeq lists it as uncharacterized. The record is from RefSeq and is a predicted model, not a curated record. NCBI's taxonomy places the organism in Eukaryota, Viridiplantae, Streptophyta, Magnoliopsida, Fagales, Juglandaceae. The transcript is spliced from 3 exons.